RNAcentral lists this long non-coding RNA (691 nucleotides) under Citrus x clementina. RNAcentral describes it as "Citrus clementina (C. clementina) long non-coding RNA (CCLE_LNC004617)". Lineage: Eukaryota; Viridiplantae; Streptophyta; Magnoliopsida; Sapindales; Rutaceae. The record is from RNAcentral.
UGGUCACGUGACAACAAUAUUGGGUUUCUCGUAAUCCCAUACGUGGACUCAGAAUAUUCGAAUCGAAGAAUCGACCGUUUCAUCGCAGAUUUGACUUCUUUUUACACCAUCCCAUUCAUGUAACUAAAUUCUUUCACUUUCGCAAUCUUAAAUGAAAUGUUAAAGAUAAAGAUUCGUUGAACGUGGUCACUUCCUUCUUUCCUAAUUUCAUUGCAUUUCAUCUGUUCAUUAUUUAUUAUUAUUAUUUUUUAAUUGUAAGCAAGCCUCCACAAAGGACUGGGUCCACUCUCAAGACCAAACCAUAUCCAAAUCAAAAUCUCACCGCUGGACGGCCGCCCGGCGCCGCCACUAUCUUCGCCGGAAUCAACAGUUACUUAGUCUACGUAGCAUUGAUUGCAGCACCAAUCGCUUUUCAUUAGAAUUAAAUAAUAUAAAGUUGUUAAAAAUUUAUGCUGACACUAAAAUCAUAGGUAACCUAUAUCGUAGGCUUAUUGAAUUCAAAGAUCUUGAGUGAUCUCUUUCUAAUUCAAUACCAUCAGCCGAACAACUUGUGAAUAAAAAUAAUAUAACUUAUUUUACCAAUUGGUUGCAAAUAACAAUGAAUAAGAAUAAAGUAAAAUAGAAAUCCCAUUAGUUUAUAUUCUUGUAUUAUAUAUAUCAUCAUCACUUAUCUAGUCUCUCCUCGUAAAAA